CGCGCAGGCGGCCUUUUAAGUUGGAUGUGAAAGCCUACGGCUCAACCGUAGAACUGCAUCCAAAACUAUCAGGCUAGAGUGUGGGAGAGGAAGAUGGAAUUAGUUGUGUAGGGGUAAAAUCCGUAGAGAUAACUAGGAAUACCAAAAGCGAAGGCAAUCUUCUGGAACAUUACUGACGCUGAGGCGCGAAAGCGUGGGGAGCAAACAGGAUUAGAUACCCUGGUAGUCC
This 229-nucleotide ribosomal RNA is filed under the name uncultured bacterium. RNAcentral describes it as "partial 16S ribosomal RNA". It matches the Rfam family "Bacterial small subunit ribosomal RNA", at positions 568 to 796 of the family's 1533-position model. The record is from RNAcentral.